Molecule: non-coding RNA, 21 nt
Filed under: Caenorhabditis elegans
Lineage: Eukaryota; Metazoa; Nematoda; Chromadorea; Rhabditida; Rhabditidae
Source: RNAcentral
UGGAUAAAAUAAAAAAAUAAA